UAGCGUAGGGUGCAAGCGUUUGUCCGGAAUUAUUGGGCGUAAAGAGCUCGUAGGCGGUUUGUCGCGUCUGCUGAUGAAACUCAGGGCUUAACCCUGAGCCUGCAGUGGGUACGGGCAGACUAGAGUGUGGUAGGGGAGAUCGGAAUUCCUGGUGUAGCGGUGGAAUGCGCAGAUAUCAGGAGGAACACCCAUGGCGAAGGCAGCAAACUGGGCCACAUCUGACGCUGAGGCGCGAAAGCGUGGGUAGCAAACAGG
This 255-nucleotide ribosomal RNA is filed under the name uncultured bacterium. RNAcentral's name for it is "partial 16S ribosomal RNA". It matches the Rfam family "Bacterial small subunit ribosomal RNA", at positions 523 to 776 of the family's 1533-position model. The record is from RNAcentral.